GCGGUAAUACGUAGGGUCCGAGCGUUGUCCGGAAUUAUUGGGCGUAAAGAGCUCGUAGGCGGCGUGUCGCGUCUGCUGUGAAAGACCGGGGCUUAACUCCGGUUCUGCAGUGGAUACGGGCAUGCUAGAGGUAGGUAGGGGAGACUGGAAUUCCUGGUGUAGCGGUGAAAUGCGCAGAUAUCAGGAGGAACACCGGUGGCGAAGGCGGGUCUCUGGGCCUUACCUGACGCUGAGGAGCGAAAGCAUGGGGAGCGAACAGGAUUAGAUACCCUGGUAGUCCAUGCCGUAAACGUUGGGCGCUAGGUGUGGGGACUUUCCACGGUUUCCGCGCCGUAGCUAACGCAUUAAGCGCCCCGCCUGGGGAGUACGGCCGCAAGGCUAAAACUCAAAGGAAUUGACGGGGGCCCGCACAAGCGGCGGAGCAUGUUGCUUAAUUCGACGCAACGCGAAGAACCUUACCAAGGUUUGACAUCACCCGUGGACUCGCAGAGAUGUGAGGUCAUUUAGUUGGCGGGUGACAGGUGGUGCAUGGCUGUCGUCAGCUCGUGUCGUGAGAUGUUGGGUUAAGUCCCGCAACGAGCGCAACCCUUGUUCCAUGUUGCCAGCACGUAAUGGUGGGGACUCAUGGGAGACUGCCGGGGUCAACUCGGAGGAAGGUGGGGAUGACGUCAAGUCAUCAUGCCCCUUAUGUCUUGGGCUGCAAACAUGCUACAAUGGCCGGUACAAUGGGCGUGCGAUACCGUAAGGUGGAGCGAAUCCCUAAAAGCCGGUCUCAGUUCGGAUUGGGGUCUGCAACUCGACCCCAUGAAGGUGGAGUCGCUAGUAAUCGCGGAUCAGCAACGCCGCGGUGAAUACGUUCCCGGGCCUUGUACACACCGCCCGUCACGUCAUGAAAGUCGGCAACACCCGAAACUUGCGGCCUAACCCCUUGUGGGAGGGAG
This 941-nucleotide ribosomal RNA is filed under the name Nocardiopsis sp. Its description in RNAcentral is "bacterial SSU rRNA". It matches the Rfam family "Bacterial small subunit ribosomal RNA", at positions 517 to 1452 of the family's 1533-position model. Lineage: Bacteria; Bacillati; Actinomycetota; Actinomycetes; Streptosporangiales; Nocardiopsidaceae. The record is from RNAcentral.